UAACGCGAAGAACCUUACCUGGGUUUGACAUACGCCGGAAACAUCCAGAGAUGGGUGCCCUUUUUGUCGGUGUACAGGUGGUGCAUGGCUGUCGUCAGCUCGUGUCGUGAGAUGUUGGGUUAAGUCCCGCAACGAGCGCAACCCUUGUCGCAUGUUGCCAGCACGCCCUUCGGGGUGGUGGGGACUCAUGCGAGACUGCCGGGGUCAACUCGGAGGAAGGUGGGGAUGACGUCAAGUCAUCAUGCCCCUUAUGUCCAGGGCUUCACGCAUGCUACAAUGGCCGGUACAGAGGGCUGCGAUCCCGUGAGGGGGAGCGAAUCCCUAAAAGCCGGUCUCAGUUCGGAUUGGGGUCUGCAACUCGACCCCAUGAAGUCGGAGUCGCUAGUAAUCGCAGAUCAGCAACGCUGCGGUGAAUACGUUCCCGGGUCUUGUACACACCGA
This 441-nucleotide ribosomal RNA is filed under the name uncultured bacterium. Its description in RNAcentral is "bacterial SSU rRNA". It matches the Rfam family "Bacterial small subunit ribosomal RNA", at positions 957 to 1393 of the family's 1533-position model. The record is from RNAcentral.